RNAcentral lists this ribosomal RNA (931 nucleotides) under uncultured marine bacterium. Its description in RNAcentral is "bacterial SSU rRNA". It matches the Rfam family "Bacterial small subunit ribosomal RNA", at positions 8 to 916 of the family's 1533-position model. The record is from RNAcentral.
AGAGUUUGAUCCUGGCUCAGAUUGAACGCUGGCGGUAGGCUUAACACAUGCAAGUCGAGCGGUAACAGACAUUUUGAUUUUGCUUGCAAAAUCUCGUGCUGACGAGCGGCGAACGGGUGAGUAACGCGUAGGAAUCUACCUAGUAGAAGGGGAUAGCCCGAGGAAACUCGGAUUAAUACCGUAUACGUCCUUAGGGAGAAAGAGGGCUUAGCUUUGAUGCUCUCGCUAUUAGAUGAGCCUGCGUAAGAUUAGCUUGUUGGUGAGGUAAAGGCUCACCAAGGCGACGAUCUUUAGCUGGUCUGAGAGGACGAUCAGCCACAUUGGGACUGAGACACGGCCCAGACUCCUACGGGAGGCAGCAGUGGGGAAUAUUGGACAAUGGGCGCAAGCCUGAUCCAGCCAUACCGCGUGUGUGAAGAAGGCCUUCGGGUUGUAAAGCACUUUAAGUAAGGAAGAAAAGAGUAUUGUUAAUACCAAUACUCCGUGACAUUACUUACAGAAUAAGGACCGGCUAAUUCCGUGCCAGCAGCCGCGGUAAUACGGAAGGUCCAAGCGUUAAUCGGAAUUACUGGGCGUAAAGCGCGCGUAGGUGGUUUAUUAAGUUGGGUGUGAAAGCCCCGGGCUCAACCUGGGAACUGCAUCCAAAACUGAUUCACUAGAGUACGAAAGAGGAAAGUAGAAUUCACAGUGUAGCGGUGGAAUGCGUAGAUAUUGUGAAGAAUACCGAUGGCGAAGGCAGCUUUCUGGUUCUGUACUGACACUGAGGUGCGAAAGCGUGGGUAGCGAACAGGAUUAGAUACCCUGGUAGUCCACGCCGUAAACGAUGACAACUAGCUGUUGGGAAGCUAUGCUUUUCAGUGGCGCAGCUAACGUCUUAAGUUGUCCGCCUGGGGAGUACGGCCGCAAGGUUAAAACUCAAAGGAAUUGACGG